Molecule: ribosomal RNA, 469 nt
Filed under: uncultured bacterium
Lineage: Bacteria
Description: partial 16S ribosomal RNA
Rfam family: Bacterial small subunit ribosomal RNA
Source: RNAcentral
GAUGAACGCUGGCGGCGCGCCUAACACAUGCAAGUCGAACGGUUAAAGCACCUUUUAGGUGUGUAUAAAGUGGCGAACGGCUGAGUAACACGUUGGCAACCUGCCCUCCUCUUGGGGAUAGCCCCGGGAAACCGAGGAUAAUACCCGAUACUUCAAUGUGGCCGCAUGACGACAUUGAGAAAGCUUUUGCGGAGAAGGAUGGGCCCGCGGCCUGUUAGCUUGUUGGUGGGGUAGAGGCCUACCAAGGCAAUGAGGGGUAGCUGGGUUGGGAGACCGACCAGCCCGAUUGGGACUGAGACACGGCCCAGACUCCGACGGGAGGCAGCAGUGGGGAAUCUUGCAAAAUGGGCGACAGCCUGAUGCAGCGACGCCGCGUGCGGGACGAAGGCCUUCGGGUUGUAAACCGCUUUCAGCAGGGACGAGGCGAUAAGUGACGGUACCUGCAGAAGAAGCCCCGGCUAACUACGUG